GAUGAACGCUGGCGGCGUGCGUAACACAUGCAAGUUGGACGACGGUGCUAUGAAGUGGUAACACGGAAUGGUAUACGGAGUAGCGGACGGGUGAGUAAAGCAUGAGGAGCUGUCCUGUUGAGGGGGAUAACGUUCGGAAACGGACCCUAAUACCCCAUAGGCCGAGAGGUUAAAGGCAGAGAUGCGCGACGGGAGGUACUCGUGUCCUAUCAGCUAGUUGGUGAGGUAACGGCUCACCAAGGCGACGACGGGUAGCCGGCCUGAGAGGGUGACCGGCCACACUGGAACUGAGAUACGGUCCAGACUCCUACGGGAGGCAGCAGUGGGGAAUAUUGGGCAAUGGGAGGAAUCCUGACCCAGCGACGCCGCGUGAACGAAGACGGCCUUCGGGUUGUAAAGUUCUUUUAUGUGGGAAGAAGGAAGUGACGGUACCACAUGAAUAAGCCCCGGCUAACUACGUGCCAGCAGCCGCGGUAAUACGUAGGGGGCGAGCGUUGUCCGGAAUUACUGGGCGUAAAGGGCACGCAGGCUGUGCUUCAAGUCAGCUGUAAAAGGAUGCGGCUUAACCGUGUUAUGCAGUUGAGACUGAGGUGCUGGAGUACCGGAGAGGCAAGUGGAAUUCCCAGUGUAGCGGUGAAAUGCGUAGAUAUUGGGAAGAACAUCGGUGGCGAAGGCGACUUGCUGGACGGUAACUGACGCUGAGGUGCGAAAGCCAGGGUAGCGAACGGGAUUAGAUACCCCGGUAGUCCUGGCUGUAAACGAUGAAUGCUAUGUGUGCGAGCAGAGAUGUUGGUGUGCCGCAGUUAACGCGAUAAGCAUUCCGCCUGGGGAGUACGGUCGCAAGAUUGAAACUCAAAGGAAUUGACGGGGGCCCGCACAAGCGGUGGAGCAUGUGGUUUAAUUCGAAGCAACGCGAAGAACCUUACCAGGUCUUGACAUCCCGAUGCCCGCUCUAGAGAUGGAGCUUUACUUCGGUACAUCGGUGACAGGUGGUGCAUGGUUGUCGUCAGCUCGUGUCGUGAGAUGUUGGGUUAAGUCCCGCAACGAGCGCAACCCUUAUUGUUAGUUGCCAUCAUUCAGUUGGGCACUCUAGCGAGACUGCCGGUAAUAAACCGGAUGAAGGUGGGGAUGACGUCAAAUCAUCAUGCCCCUUAUGACCUGGGCUACACACGUGCUACAAUGGCUGGUACAACGAGUCGCAAGCCGGUGACGGCAAGCUAAUCUCUGAAAGCCAGUCUCAGUUCGGAUUGUAGGCUGCAACUCGCCUACAUGAAGUCGGAAUCGCUAGUAAUCGCGGAUCAGCACGCCGCGGUGAAUACGUUCCCGGGCCUUGUACACACCGCCCGUCACACCACGAGAGUUUGUAACACCCGAAGUCGGUGAGGUAACCGUAAGGAGCCAGCCGCCUAAGGUGGGAUAGAUGACUGGGGUG
RNAcentral lists this ribosomal RNA (1432 nucleotides) under uncultured Synergistota bacterium. RNAcentral's name for it is "bacterial SSU rRNA". It matches the Rfam family "Bacterial small subunit ribosomal RNA". The record is from RNAcentral. Lineage: Bacteria; Thermotogati; Synergistota.